AGCUGUUCCAGUGUGCACCAUGUCCUAAUCCUGAAGAUGAAGAAAUUUGGGGGCUGAAUCACAAUUCCUGCCUGUUUUUGUUGUGUCGUGAAGCUUAUUCUUUAAUGCAUUUCUUAACUCUUCAGGAAGAAGAAACUCUGUCCAGCAGCAAGCUGCUGAGCUCCCAAGAGCCUGCUCGUCAGGAACUUCAGAGUCCUGAAGACAGCUUGAGUGAGCCAUCGCAGGAGGAGCAAGACACUGAAAACCAAGAAGGCAGUACAGAGGAUUCUUCUAGACAGCUGUGUCUCUGUCCUGAGACAAGAACAUCCCUCUCUUCAGGAGCCUCUGAAGAAGACAAUGACUCUGACUUGAAAGAGAGCAGAAGAUUUUUGCAGGUAUGACAUCAGCAUCCCCCUACAUCUCAGAAGAUAGCAGCUGUCAUGCUCUGACAUGGUUUAGGGGUACCCACUGAUAGGGUUCAGAAGACUUUCUUCUCUUUAUCCUGAGCCUUUCCUGCCUCACCAUCACUGCCCCCUGCCCCAUACUUAGUUCAGUCCUCUAGCUUCCUGGUGGAAGGGCUUUAUUCUCAAAGCACCCAAAUGAGAAAGAGCUGCGGGAUGCCUCCGGGGUGUCUCCACCAACACAUCCUGCGCCCACAGGCUCCGGAGCCUCAUUUAAUCUCUGACCCUUCCCCACGGACCUUGCCUGAGCUACGCCACAGGGGGCCUGUGCCCGACCUUGCUGAUUCUGCCCUUGCCUUGCCCACCUGAUUUCCUGGCUUGCCCGUGACCUGCCUCGUCGCUAUGGGCUUGCUGGCAACUGCCAAAGUGUCAGCUGGCCCUGGUUACUGUCACCACUGUUAUGGAAAUUAGGCUUGUCGGCCACCAUAACAGGGCUCGACCCUAGGUUCCCGCAAGUAAAGUUCAGAGCCAAAUCAAAACAAAUUAAAUUUUAAUCACGCGCGUGCCAUAAUUACAGCUCGAGCUGGGUGCCUCCUAAGAGGGACCCUAACAUAAACAAAUC
Molecule: long non-coding RNA, 1002 nt
Organism: Dromaius novaehollandiae (emu)
Lineage: Eukaryota; Metazoa; Chordata; Aves; Casuariiformes; Dromaiidae
Exons: 2
Source: RefSeq, a predicted model, not a curated record